AUAUGCUUCUUUAAUGUCAUUACAUUUAAAAAGGAGUCUCUGAGUUUCUGCAGCAAUGGAAUGGAAUGGAAAGAUUUGGGUUUGAACCUUGAUUCUACAACUCAUUGUAGAUGACCUUGGACAGGCCAACCUGUCUAUUAAACCCCUCAUCCUGCCUCUUUCAUUGGAGAUGUGAGGAUUAGAAGAGACAGAGUGUAUUGAAGGACAUUGGCCAAGGCCAAGCCCAGGACUGAUUCUCUUCUGCUCCCCUGCUGGUGUUUCCCUGAUCUGCUGUGAAUGUU
Pipistrellus kuhlii (Kuhl's pipistrelle) is the source of this 281-nucleotide long non-coding RNA. RefSeq lists it as uncharacterized. The transcript has 3 exons. NCBI's taxonomy places the organism in Eukaryota, Metazoa, Chordata, Mammalia, Chiroptera, Vespertilionidae. The record is from RefSeq and is a predicted model, not a curated record.